This 299-nucleotide long non-coding RNA is filed under the name Ananas comosus (pineapple). RNAcentral describes it as "long non-coding RNA (ACOM_LNC024942)". Lineage: Eukaryota; Viridiplantae; Streptophyta; Magnoliopsida; Poales; Bromeliaceae. The record is from RNAcentral.
CUAAAUUGAUUUUGAAAUAAAUUUUUAAAAAAUAAAAAUUAUCUUCGCUAUUCUGCCAAAUACUAUAAAAACAGUAAAAAUAAUUAUUCACAUCAAGUCAAAUUAUUGUAGAUAAUUUUAAAAUAAUUGGAAAAUAACUGUUUUACCUUUUUAGAGAGGAAUAGAACUAUUCCAAUGCUAUAUUUAGCUAAUUAAGAAUAAGUAAAGUGAUAUACAAGUAUGGUUAUAUAUAUUAAUUAAAGAUUUAUAAUAAUAAUAAUAAUAAUAAUAAUUUUUUAUAUUCGAAUAAUUAAUAGUGU